CUUUGUUUCUCGUCCUGCCAGAACUGCAUUUCAGUUGUCUCUGACCAGCCACCAAUGUCGGCCGCACAAUGAAGCUGUGUAGGUUUUUUAAGUGUAUGGUUUAUAAUGCUCUUGUGGGGAGCGAUAUUGCGGGAGGUUUGCAGGUUCAGAAUUAUUCAGUUCAUUUACAGCAAUGCCAGCCUUCCAUCAAAUACUAAUUUGGAGAUGUGCCGUGUCUGUCUUUCAGAACUCAAGAAUCAGUGACCUUUAUCUCUGCAGCUCCCUCAGGGAUGCACAUUUUAAUACAUAACUGGAUGGUAUAAAUGCAGACAUCUUUUUCAGGACUUACAGUCUUAUUGAGAAUGCUCAUACAAUUGGCCUUAUUAAAAGGCAUUGAGAUAUAAAAUGUUUUUAAUAGCAGUGGCAAAACCUGUUGCUUUCGAGCUCAUAUCAAAGUCCUACUUUCAAGCUGAGUUACCAACAUCUGUCUGCAAUAUUCCUAAUGGACUUGAUCUGCAGAAUACAUUGCUCUUGUUGCUUUAAAUGUACCUGGGCUGCAUUUGUCAGCUUUGGGAGAAUACCCCCCCACUUCCAUCAUGAAACUUGAGUUUACUCACUUAGGUUCCAUUCACACUGCAGUUUAUUCCAUUUCUCUGAUGUUUCCCUGUUAAUUUCUGCAUUAUAUUUGGGGUGCCAGAAACAAAUGCAUUAUAGUGCCUGAUUAACACUCAUUUCCAUGUUGAUUCCAGAAAAGUCCAUCAAUAGCUCCUUUGCCCUGGAAAAUCAAGGGAGUAAACUGACAAAUUAUGGGGUGAUAUAGCAGCAUACAGUUCUUUCCUGCUGUUUUUGUGGGGAAAUCAUGGAGGAAUAGAAGAACACAUGUGCAGAAAAGGUAGGGGUGUAGCAACAUUGUCAUAGAGCAUUUGUGGGGGGGGGCAAAAUUCCAUGGUUGGGAACGUACUAGAAAUUUCCCUAUUGGAAUAAAUGGAAAUCAUUGACUCAUUAUGUGAAUGCUCACCUAAUGAACAGUUUCCAGGGAACGCAUUGUGUUUGCUAAGUGGAACUUGCCUGCUUUUAUGCUGCUAUGUUUAUUAUUUGUUCUAAUGAUAUUUUGUUUUUAUAUCAUACACUGCUGAAAGAUUUUAGAAAUAUUAAGUGAUUUCUAAAUACUUCAAAAUAAAUAAACAGGCACAUAUAAAGCUGGAGAUUUCCUGCCUUAUGUUCAAUUAUACCAGCACUGUGUGAGGUCAAAGCAAGCUGGAUAAUACGAAGCGCAAGGCAAACGGCUUCCUUAAUGAGCUCCAUACCUCACAGAAGAAGAAAAAAAGCA
Podarcis lilfordi (Lilford's wall lizard) is the source of this 1309-nucleotide non-coding RNA. NCBI's taxonomy places the organism in Eukaryota, Metazoa, Chordata, Lepidosauria, Squamata, Lacertidae. The record is from the annotation of a GenBank genome assembly.